Molecule: transfer-messenger RNA, 355 nt
Filed under: Eubacteriales
Lineage: Bacteria; Bacillati; Bacillota; Clostridia
Also listed under: 1 other name
Description: UBA1433 sp012797825 Standard tmRNA
Rfam family: transfer-messenger RNA
About the family: Bacterial tmRNA, also known as 10Sa RNA or SsrA, is named for its dual tRNA and mRNA-like properties. Its role is to liberate the mRNA from a stalled ribosome.
Source: RNAcentral
GGGGGCGCAAUGGUUUCGACAGGGGCGUUGAUACAAGAUAAGCGAGCCGGGAUAGCCUGAAACCGUAACAAUUAUGGCAACUAAAUUUAAACGCUAAAAACGAAAAAUUAGCUUUCGCGGCAUAAAGCCCGCGAUGUCCUGAAGUACUCAUUCCUGCGUGAUAUUUCAGGGCAUAAAAUAAUGCAGGAUAUUCAAAAGACAUAAUCUUCGGUGUCUUUUGAAAAUUUACGAAGAUAGCACUAAGUUAAGUCGGUCGCCUGUCUUAACUUGUGCGAAGUGCGAAUAGCGACUGCGCUCGGAGAAAAUCUUGAGGAUGCGUUUUUGGACGCGGGUUCGACUCCCGCCGCCUCCACCA